UGACCUUUCUUCCUUGUUAUGAUUAUAACUUCAUGUAUUGACCUCUGAUUUGGACAAAACUUAUUUGAUCAGAAUAUAGACUCAUAAACCUUUGUUUUGAUAACUUAUUUUAAGAAUUCAGAGUAAGUUUGUCUGCCCAAACUUCUGUUUCAAAUGAGCCUACAGAUUCUGCAAAACAGGGAUCGUAAUUUCUGACCUUUUGAUACUGAACUGCUUAUAAGUCC
Molecule: long non-coding RNA, 224 nt
Filed under: Musa acuminata (dwarf banana)
Lineage: Eukaryota; Viridiplantae; Streptophyta; Magnoliopsida; Zingiberales; Musaceae
Description: long non-coding RNA (MACU_LNC011441)
Source: RNAcentral